This 406-nucleotide ribosomal RNA is filed under the name uncultured bacterium. Its description in RNAcentral is "partial 16S ribosomal RNA". It matches the Rfam family "Bacterial small subunit ribosomal RNA", at positions 30 to 526 of the family's 1533-position model. The record is from RNAcentral.
AUUGAACGCUGGCGGCAGGCUUAACACAUGCAAGUCGAGCGAGCGGCGGACGGGUGAGUAAUGUCUGGGAAACUGCCUGAUGGAGGGGGAUAACUACUGGAAACGGUAGCUAAUACCGCAUACCAUCAGAUGUGCCCAGAUGGGAUUAGCUAGUAGGUGGGGUAAUGGCUCACCUAGGCGACGAUCCCUAGCUGGUCUGAGAGGAUGACCAGACACACUGGAACUGAGACACGGUCCAGACUCCUACGGGAGGCAGCAGGGGGUAAUAUUGCAUAAUGGGCGCAAGCCUGAUGCAGCCAUGCCGCGGGUGUGAAGAAGGCGUUCGGGUUGUAAAGUACUGUAAGCGAGGAGGCGUUACUCGCAGAAGAAGCACCGGCUAACUACGUGUCAGCAGCCGCGGUAAUAC